GGUUGAUCCUGCCAGUAGUCAUAUGCUUGUCUUAAAGAUUAAGCCAUGCAUGUCUAAGUAUAAACGAAACUUAAAAUACGUGAAACUGCGAAUGGCUCAUUAAAUCAGUUAUAAUUUAUUUGAUGGUUAAAAAGUGUCAAAACUUUUUUACAUGGAUAACCGUGGUAAAUCUAGAGCUAAUACAUGCACAAAAAUCCCAACUAUUACCUCUUUUAUUUAUUAUUAUUUGUCAAAGAGUAAUAAUAAAGAAAGAGUUAAAAUAAAAUAGAAAGGAUGUAUUUAUUAGAUACAAAUAACCAAAGAAGAAAAAUAAAAGUUAAUUUUAUUUUUCUGAAUAUUAUUGAUAAUAACAACUUUGGUGAUUCAUAAUAACUUUAACGAAUCGUAUGGUCAAUUUAUAUUAGUACCGACGAUAGUUCAUUCAAAUUUCUGCCCUAUCAACUUUGGAUGGUAGUAUAGAGGACUACCAUGGUGGUAACGGGUAACGGAGAAUCAGGGUUUGAUUCCGGAGAAGGAGCCUGAGAAACGGCUACUACUUCCAAGGAAGGCAGCAGGCGCGCAAAUUACCCAAUCCCGACAUGGGGAGGUAGUGACAAUAAAUAACAAUAUUGGAUUUUYUAAAACAAAAUCUAAUAAUUGGAAUGAGUACAAUCUAAACCCCUUAACAAGUAACAAUUGGAGGGCAAGUCUGGUGCCRGCAGCCGCGGUAAUUCCAGCUCCAAUAGCAUAUAUUAAAGUUGUUGCAGUUAAAAAGCUCGUAGUUGGAUUUAUUUAAAUUCUUUUAUUAUUUUUWUUAUUAAAUUAUUUAAUAAUUAWAAAUAAUAAGAAUUUAAUAAWAUAUUUUACUAGAUAUUCAUUAUUAUUCUUUAUUGAAUARUAAUUAUUAAUUUUAAUKUAACAAAUUAAAAUUAAUUUAUUURAUAAUAAAGAGAUUAAGAUUUAAAGUGGAUAAUAAUAAUUUCAUYWUAUUAUUAUUAUUYUGCUUAAUAAAACUGAUUAUUAAAUAGAAAUCUAGUACAUUUACUUUGAGUAAAUUAGAGUGUUCAAAGCAAACAAUUUAAAAAWWWWWAAAUUUGUAAUGAAUACUAUUAGCAUGGGAUAAUGGAACAAGACAUUUAAUCUUUUUUAAUAUGUCAAUAUUUGAAAUUGGUUUAUUUCUUAAAUGARAAGGUUUGAAAGAUUUAAUGUAAUGAUUAAAAAGGGAUAGUUGGGGGCAUUAGUAUUUAAUUGUCAGAGGUGAAAUCUUGGAUUUAUGAAAGACUAACUUCUGCGAAAGCAUUUGUCAAAGAUGUUUUCAUUAAUCAAGAACGAAAGUUAGGGGAUCGAAGACGAUCAGAUACCGUCGUAGUCUUAACCAUAAACUAUGCCGACCAGGGAUUGGAAGGUUGUUUAAAAAAAUUAAAAUAAAUUUAUUUUGAUWUWAYKAUYARAAUAAAUUUAAAAUUCUUUCAGUACCUUAAAAGAAAUUAGUAAGUUUUUAGGUUCUGGGGGGAGUAUGGUCGCAAGGCUGAAACUUAAAGGAAUUNACGGAAGGGCACCACCAGGAGUGGAGCCUGCGGCUUAAUUUGACUCAACACGGGAAAUCUUACCAGGUCCAGACACAGUUAGGAUUGACAGAUUGAGAGCUCUUUNUUGAUUCUGUGGGUGGUGGUGCAUGGCCGUUCUUAGUUGGUGGAGUGAUUUGUCUGGUUAAUUCCGAUAACGAACGAGACCUCAGCCGUUUUAAUUAGUUAACUAAAUUAAAACUAAUAUUUUAUUUUYUUKCARAAGAAAWWAAAAUAUAAUAAAARAGRGUUUUUAWUAAUUUWWAUUUUUGGAUCUGUCAAAAGUUUUAAAAAAUKAAAUUAAUAAAAAAACUUUGUUUUAAUUUAAGAUUUUCUUUUAUAUUAAUAUAUAAAAGAAAAAAAAAUUAACUUCUUAAAGGGACACUUGGUGUUUAACCAAGGGAAGUUUGAGGCAAUAACAGGUCUGUGAUGCCCUUUAGAUGUUCUGGGCUGCACGCGCGCUACACUGAUAUAAUCAACAAGUUUUUAAAUAAAUAUUAUGAAAAAAGUAAUAUUUAWWUUAGAAAACCUAAAUAGAAAUAUUUGGGRAAACUUWUWAAAUUAUAUCGUGAUGGGGAUCGAUAAUUGUAAUUAUUUAUCGUGAACGAGGAAUUCCUAGUAAGCGCAAGUCAUC
This 2178-nucleotide ribosomal RNA is filed under the name Korotnevella monacantholepis. RNAcentral's name for it is "small subunit ribosomal RNA". It matches the Rfam family "Eukaryotic small subunit ribosomal RNA", at positions 6 to 1652 of the family's 1831-position model. Lineage: Eukaryota; Discosea; Flabellinia; Dactylopodida; Paramoebidae. The record is from RNAcentral.